This is a long non-coding RNA of Calypte anna (Anna's hummingbird), 2524 nucleotides long. RefSeq lists it as uncharacterized. NCBI's taxonomy places the organism in Eukaryota, Metazoa, Chordata, Aves, Apodiformes, Trochilidae. The transcript is spliced from 2 exons. The record is from RefSeq and is a predicted model, not a curated record.
CGCUCCUCAGCAGCCCCUGUCAGGACCUCCCCUCCUCAUCCUCCCCGGCCCCGCCGCCAUCUCCUGCAGCCCGCCGGCAAAUGGCGGCAGCGCCGCGGGGCCCUCGCCGUCUCCUAGCAACGCCCCCCCCUCCGCCGCCAUCUUGGAGCAGCCGCCGCUUCACUGCCCCCGGGCCAGCGGGUCCCGGGCAGGUCCAGGGGAGGUCCCGGGCAGUGCUCCGUGGCUCGGUUCUGCCGGUCCAGUCGCCGCUGGGGAUGGGGAUGGCGGCGGGGAUGGCGGUCAGCUCCUCGCCCACGCCGGCUGAAGCUGCCGCGCUACAGUUUCGCGUGGAACAAAGUGGCAGAGGACACAGAGUCGCUCUUGUUUCGAAGUCAGCUUUUACCACGAUACAGACAGGCACAGACACUUGCAGAGAAGACUCUUAAAAUUGUGCUUCUCCCAGGUGGUUUCCCACCUCCUGAACACAUCUGGAGAUCUUUGGAUGAAAGGUGCAAUCUGCUUCCAGUGCCAAACACAACGUAGGAGUUCAAGCUCCACGCAGGACACUGCAGGUACAGUAAUGUUGGUUUUGGUCUCCCCCACCUGUGUCACAGCCAUGGGAGUCAAACAGGAAUGACAGGGAAGACACCAAACCUGGAACAAAGUCCAACCACUUUAAUAUAUUUUCACAUAUAUUCUACAAACUGUUUAGUGUAUAAAAAGCAACAUUUAAAGCAUUUUGCUUUUUAUACAUGCACUUAUUAUGAGCUCAAAAUUGGGAAAUACCAGAAUUAAGGCUGCCUGUCCUACUGCCAGCCUGAUUGCCAAGCCUGAAUACCCAAACCAAACAUUUUUGCCCUUGUAAGUUUCAGAACAGCCGUUUUUUUUUACUGGUACUCUUCCCACCCUGAGUGGCUGAUGAACUCUGCUCAGCUUCCCCAAGUGCUCCUAUGAAAUUGCCCAAUGGGGAGCAAAUGUUAACACAGAAAUGGAGUGGGGGUUUUGUUAGUUUUUUUAGCAUGCCACCAUUUCAUAGCAUCAGUAUCACUGCAGUGGUCUAAUGAUGCAGAUGUCCGUGUCUCAUCUGCAGAAGGACCAAACCUUAGUCUCCAAACCAAGACAAACACCACCAGAAAAGCUUCUCUUCCUGCAGCUCUGCCUUUGUUUGCUGCCAACCUCACUGCUGUAAUGGACAGGACAGGGACACCAAGGGGACACUUUCUGGUACCUCCAGUCACUGCUCAGUACCAGUUGUCUGAUACAAAAUGUCCACGGGACAGAGCACCAGUGUGUGACAGCACUGUAACUCCCAGGCACCUGGGAAGCCUAAGCUUUAAAAGCAGUUUUAAUUCUGGCAUUUCUCAAACUUUUGAGCUCUUUGGUUCCUAGGUCUAAGCCAAGGCCAUCUGUGGCAUCCUGUGCUAGCUGCAGCGAGUUGUAAUGAGGAGACAACAGAGAGCUUUUGGGUUUGAACAGAUACUUUCCUCCAGGUCAGAGAGGUGAGCAGUGCACCUCCAGCACCUGCACCUUCAGUGCCUGCACUGUGUGGAGAUGUCCUUUGUACAAACAUGUUCCACAUGUGGUACACACUUGUGGCACCCCACCAGAGAAAGGGGCUCAGGAGGUUAAGGAUGCUCAGCUGGAGUAACUAACACUCUAUCUCUGCUGCUGCUGAGUACAACCCCUCCUCAGCCUGCCUGCUUUCAUAAAUAAGGAUCAGGAAAAUAAAAAAAAAAGGACACUACCACAUGGAUCUUUUUCUUUACAAUACUAAUCUAUACAGUGAAACAUCCAUUACUGCUCAGCAGAGUAAAAAUAUGCUACAUCAAAAUGGUACCAGAAAAAGCAGGACCCCUGUAAAGCUGGAGAAGGGUUUGCAGAUAAAAAUCAGAAUUGAGCAGCCAGCUUAAAAAAUAUGCCACUGGAAAUGUAUGAGAAAAUAAAGAGAGGGUUGUCCUGUCUCUAGAGGUUGGCAGACAUCAGAAUUGGUGCAGUUCACAGGCUCUCCUCCUCCUGUGCAGUGCUGCUGUCAGCAUCGCAGCGGGUUGUCUCACCAGCUGGGAGCUGCUCCAGUGCUCCCCUCCAGCAGGUGAAGGAAGCGUGGUGUGUUACACUCCAGGAGGAAACAAACCGCUGCCUUCCACCAAAAUCCUCCUCCCAGAGGGCUGCAGAAGCAAGGACACCCUCUGGGCACCAGCACAGGGGCUCAGCGUGCUUCACACUGCCCCGGUGAGACAGUGAACUGCAGGUCCAGGCUGGAGACAGGAAACCAAGACAUCUGUCUGCUCUCCUGGGACGUGCACACUGUUACACUGUUUGAUGGCAGGCAAACUACCGAUGAAGAUGGGCUCCAAACUAACAGCAUUCCCCAGGGAAUUAAUUUACAAAGUGCCACUGGUCCUUGGAACCAAUACAGAAUACAGUAUAUUACAGCAAACACUAGCUCUGCAGCCCGUGUCGGCCCAGCUCUGCACAAUAUGCAGAAAAGAAAUUGAAUGUUCAGACUCUUUACAGUAGCCUCCUUCCCUUUUUAGACAAAGGAAAA